CAGCAGCCGCGGUAAUACGUAGGUGGCAAGCGUUGUCCGGAAUUAUUGGACGUAAAGGGCUCGCAGGCGGUUUCUUAAGUCUGAUGUGAAAGCCCCCGGCUCAACCGGGGAGGGUCAUUGGAAACUGGGAAACUUGAGUGCAGAAGAGGAGAGUGGAAUUCCACGUGUAGCGGUGAAAUGCGUAGAGAUGUGGAGGAACACCAGUGGCGAAGGCGACUCCCUGGUCUGUAACUGACGCUGAGGAGCGAAAGCGUGGGGAGCGAACAGGAUUAGAUACCCCCGUAGUCCCUGUCUCUUAUAC
This 301-nucleotide ribosomal RNA is filed under the name uncultured bacterium. Its description in RNAcentral is "partial 16S ribosomal RNA". It matches the Rfam family "Bacterial small subunit ribosomal RNA", at positions 509 to 807 of the family's 1533-position model. The record is from RNAcentral.